Long non-coding RNA from Papaver somniferum (opium poppy), 810 nucleotides. RefSeq lists it as uncharacterized. The record is from RefSeq and is a predicted model, not a curated record. NCBI's taxonomy places the organism in Eukaryota, Viridiplantae, Streptophyta, Magnoliopsida, Ranunculales, Papaveraceae. The transcript is spliced from 5 exons.
CUCAGCUACCAUCAGGUAGAUGUCUUCUUUUUAUAGACAUAUACGUCUGCUUGGCAUCUGAGAUCACUCACUGAUGUACCAGGGCCAAAUUUAGUUGUGUACAGACUUCCUAGGAAGCUAUGCCUUUCACUUUUUCUCCAUAAGCGAUUCUAUGUGCAGUUGCAAGCUCACAGACUACAGCUCCAUAAGCCAUUCUAUGUGCAGUUGCGAGCUCACAGACUACAGCAAAGUGGUUUCGUACAGGAGCCUGGAGGGAUGGUAGGAAAAACUGCAGCAAUCAAAACGUAUCCCACAUGCGAUGAUGUUGAUACUUGAUAUGUGAAUGUGUAUGAGGUGGAAAAGAAAUUGAUGGUUGAGGGCUUUAUCACUUUCAAUGCAGAAAAACUGGGGGACUAGAUUUAGUAGCAAACAGUUUAUGGUUUGGCUGGUUUCAAGCUUCUCAAUUUUGGUGCAUUGGGAAUCAAGAAUUUUGGGUUUAUGUGGCAUAUGAUGAGUACCGGGAACGCAAUGAUCCAUUACCAAUUUGUAUUGCUGAUGACGACGACCCAAACGAAUAUUUAGUGUAUGAAGAACCAACAGAUGAUGCAGCAGAGGCUGGGAGAUUAACGCUGGCGGUCUUUACAUUACGCUUAUAUACUGGACAAAAUCCAGUCGACAACAUUAAAGACGCGGGUUCAUUAAAUUCCAACACAACUUAUAUGUAAGACACCCAAAUGGAGUUCCUGGAAACUGUGACCCUAUUGGGCAUUAAUGGGACCUGUAGUUAUCAACUUUUGAUUUUUUUAACUAACAUUUUGUCGAUUUUUUUAA